GGAUUGUGGCUCAGCGGUACAGCGCUUGCCUAGCACGAGUGGUACUCGGGUUCGAUUCUCAGCACCA
This 67-nucleotide transfer RNA is filed under the name Marmota monax (woodchuck). RNAcentral's name for it is "tRNA.Ala". Lineage: Eukaryota; Metazoa; Chordata; Mammalia; Rodentia; Sciuridae. The record is from RNAcentral.